GGUUUAAUUNGAAGCAACGCGAAGAACCUUACCAAAUCUUGACAUCNUCUGACUCCUCUAGAGAUAGAGUUUUCCCCUUCGGGGGGCAGAGUGACAGGUGGUGCAUGGUNGUCGUCAGCUCGUGUCGUGAGAUGUUGGGUUAAGUCCCGCAACGAGCGCAACCCUUAAGCUUAGUUGCCAUCAUUAAGUUGGGCACUCUAAGUUGACUGCCGGUGACAAACCGGAGGAAGGUGGGGAUGACGUCAAAUCAUCAUGCCCCUUAUGAUUUGGGCUACACACGUGCUACAAUGGACAAUACAAAGGGCAGCGAAAUCGCGAGGUCAAGCAAAUCCCAUAAAGUUGUUCUCAGUUCGGAUUGUAGUCUGCAACUCGACUAUAUGAAGCUGGAAUCGCUAGUAAUCGUAGAUCAGCAUGCUACGGUGAAUACGUUCCCGGGUCUUGUACACACCGCCCGUCACACCACGAGAGUUUGUAACACCCGAAGCCGGUGGAGUAACCAUU
Molecule: ribosomal RNA, 501 nt
Filed under: uncultured Staphylococcus sp.
Lineage: Bacteria; Bacillati; Bacillota; Bacilli; Caryophanales; Staphylococcaceae
Description: bacterial SSU rRNA
Rfam family: Bacterial small subunit ribosomal RNA
Source: RNAcentral